AAAUUGCGUUAGGGAUUGAAAUGGCAUCCUUUUUUCUUUUUCGGAAAAAAGAUAUAAUUGAAAGCCCGUUAAAAC
RNAcentral lists this small RNA (75 nucleotides) under Polaribacter vadi. Its description in RNAcentral is "Flavo-1 RNA". It matches the Rfam family "Flavo-1 RNA". Lineage: Bacteria; Pseudomonadati; Bacteroidota; Flavobacteriia; Flavobacteriales; Flavobacteriaceae. The record is from Rfam by way of RNAcentral.